Molecule: ribosomal RNA, 490 nt
Filed under: uncultured bacterium
Lineage: Bacteria
Description: bacterial SSU rRNA
Rfam family: Bacterial small subunit ribosomal RNA
Source: RNAcentral
CUCAGGAUGAACGCUGGCGGCGUAGCUUAACACAUGCAAGUCGAACGGAGUUUUAACGGAAGUUUCGGAUGGAAGUUAAAACUAGUGGCGGACGGGUGAGUAACGCGUGGGUAACCUGCCUCAUACAGGGGGAUAACAGUUAGAAAUGACUGCUAACACCGCAUAAUGUAGCGAAACCGCAUGAUUUUGCUAUCAAAUAUUUAUAGGUAUGAGAUGGGCCCGCGUCUGAUUAGCUAGUUGGUGGGGUAAAAGCCUACCAAGGCGACGAUCAGUAGCCGGCUUGAGAGAGUGACCGGCCACAUUGGGACUGAGACACGGCCCAAACUCCUACGGGAGGCAGCAGUGGGGAAUAUUGGACAAUGGGGGAAACCCUGAUCCAGCGACGCCCGCGUGAGUGAAGAAGUAUUUCGGUAUGUAAAGCUCUAUCAGCAGGGAAGAUAAUGACAGUACCUGACUAAGAAGCCCCGGCUAACUACGUGCCAGCAGCUGC